CCUACGGGUGGCAGCAGUCGAGAAUCAUUCACAAUGGGGGAAACCCUGAUGGUGCGACGCCGCGUGGGGGAAUGAAGUUCUUCGGAUUGUAAACCCCUGUCAUGUGGGAGCAAAUUAGAGAGAUCGUACCACAACAGGAAGACACUACUAACUCUGUGCCAGCAGCCGCGGUAAUACAGAGGUCUCAAGCGUUGUUCGGAAUCACUGGGCGUAACGCGUGCGUAGGCGGUUUCGUAAGUCGUGUGUGAAAGUCGCGGGCUCAACCCGAGGACGGCACAUGAUACUGGGAGACGAGAGUAAGGGAGGGGGAAACGGAAUUCUCGGUGUAGCAGUGAAAUGCGUAGAUAUCGAGAGGAACACUCGUGGCGAAGGCGGGUUCCUGGACAGUAACUGACGCUGAGGCACGAAGGCCAGGGGAGCGAAAGGGAUUAGAUACCCGAGUAGUC
Molecule: ribosomal RNA, 446 nt
Filed under: uncultured bacterium
Lineage: Bacteria
Description: partial 16S ribosomal RNA
Rfam family: Bacterial small subunit ribosomal RNA
Source: RNAcentral